This 495-nucleotide ribosomal RNA is filed under the name uncultured bacterium. RNAcentral's name for it is "partial 16S ribosomal RNA". It matches the Rfam family "Bacterial small subunit ribosomal RNA", at positions 28 to 507 of the family's 1533-position model. The record is from RNAcentral.
GACGAACGCUGGCGGCGUGCCUAAUACAUGCAAGUCGAACGCUGAAGGAGGAGCUUGCUCUUCUGGAUGAGUUGCGAACGGGUGAGUAACGCGUAGGUAACCUGCCUGGUAGCGGGGGAUAACUAUUGGAAACGAUAGCUAAUACCGCAUAAGAGUAGAUGUUGCAUGACAUUUGCUUAAAAGGUGCAAUUGCAUCACUACCAGAUGGACCUGCGUUGUAUUAGCUAGUUGGUGGGGUAACGGCUCACCAAGGCGACGAUACAUAGCCGACCUGAGAGGGGGCUCGGCCACACUGGGACUGAGACACGGCCCAGACUCCUACGGGAGGCAGCAGUAGGGAAUCUUCGGCAAUGGACGGAAGUCUGACCGAGCAACGCCGCGUGAGUGAAGAAGGUUUUCGGAUCGUAAAGCUCUGUUGUAAGAGAAGAACGAGUGUGAGAGUGGAAAGUUCACACUGUGACGGUAUCUUACCAGAAAGGGACGGCUAACUACGUG